UACGGAGGGGGCUAGCGUUGUUCGGAAUUACUGGGCGUAAAGAGCUUGUAGGCGGUUUGUCGCGUCGUCUGUGAAAACUCACCGCUCAACUGUGAGCUUGCAGGCGAUACGGGCAGACUUGAGUACUGCAGGGGAGACUGGAAUUCCUGGUGUAGCGGUGAAAUGCGCAGAUAUCAGGAGGAACACCGGUGGCGAAGGCGGGUCUCUGGGCAGUAACUGACGCUGAGAAGCGAAAGCGUCGGUAGCGAACAGG
Molecule: ribosomal RNA, 253 nt
Filed under: uncultured bacterium
Lineage: Bacteria
Description: partial 16S ribosomal RNA
Rfam family: Bacterial small subunit ribosomal RNA
Source: RNAcentral